RNAcentral lists this unclassified non-coding RNA (203 nucleotides) under soil metagenome. Its description in RNAcentral is "partial contains 5.8S ribosomal RNA, internal transcribed spacer 2, and large subunit ribosomal RNA". The record is from RNAcentral.
AACGCACGAGACCUGCGGACCUGCGGAAGGAUCAUUACCGAGUUUACAACUCCCAAACCCCUGUGAACAUACCACUCGUUGCCUCGGCGGAUCACCGCGCCCCGUGAAACGGGCCGGCCCGCCAGAGGACCUAAACUCAAAUGUUUUAUUGUAUCUUCUGAGUAAAAACACAAAUAAAUCAAAACUUUCAGCAAUGGAUCUCU